ACCUCUGCAAUAGGCGAAAGCCUGACAGGGUUACUCUGAGUGAUGCCCGCUAAGGGUAUCUUUUGGCACCUCUAAAAAUGGUGCAGAAUAAGGGGUGGGCAAGUCUGGUGUCAGCCGCCGCGGUAAUACCAGCACCCCGAGUGGUGUGGACGUUUAUUGGGCCUAAAGCAUCCGUAGCUGGCUGAACAAGUCCCCUGUUAAACCCACCGAUUUAAUCGUUGGCUUGCGGGGGAUACUGCUCGGCUAGGGGACGAGAGAGGCAGACGGUAUUCCCGGGGUAGGGGUGAAAUCCUAUAAUCCCGAGAAGACCACCAGUGGCGAAGGCUGUCUGCUAGAACGCGCCCGACGGUGAGGGAUGAAAGCUGGGGGAGCGAACCGGAUUAGAUACCCGGGUAGUCCCAGCUGUAAACGAUGCAGGCUAGGUGUUUGGACGGCCACGUGCCGUUCUAGUGCCGCAGGGAAGCUGUUAAGCCUGCCGCCUGGGGAGUACGAUCGCAAGAUUGAAACUUAA
RNAcentral lists this ribosomal RNA (511 nucleotides) under uncultured archaeon. RNAcentral's name for it is "bacterial SSU rRNA". It matches the Rfam family "Archaeal small subunit ribosomal RNA", at positions 346 to 859 of the family's 1478-position model. The record is from RNAcentral.